Molecule: ribosomal RNA, 427 nt
Filed under: uncultured bacterium
Lineage: Bacteria
Description: partial 16S ribosomal RNA
Rfam family: Bacterial small subunit ribosomal RNA
Source: RNAcentral
UGGGGAAUAUUGCACAAUGGGCGCAAGCCUGAUGCAGCCAUGCCGCGUGUAUGAAGAAGGCCUUCGGGUUGUAAAGUACUUUCAGCGGGGAGGAAGGGAGUAAAGUUAAUACCUUUGCUCAUUGACGUUACCCGCAGAAGAAGCACCGGCUAACUCCGUGCCAGCAGCCGCGGUAAUACGGAGGGUGCAAGCGUUAAUCGGAAUUACUGGGCGUAAAGCGCAUGCAGGCGGUUUGUUAAGUCAGAUGUGAAAUCCCCGGGCUCAACCUGGGAACUGCAUCUGAUACUGGCAAGCUUGAGUCUCGUAGAGGGGGGUAGAAUUCCAGGUGUAGCGGUGAAAUGCGUAGAGAUCUGGAGGAAUACCGGUGGCGAAGGCGGCCCCCUGGACGAAGACUGACGCUCAGGUGCGAAAGCGUGGGGAGCAAACA